RNAcentral lists this ribosomal RNA (526 nucleotides) under Panops baudini. Its description in RNAcentral is "partial 16S ribosomal RNA". Lineage: Eukaryota; Metazoa; Arthropoda; Insecta; Diptera; Acroceridae. The record is from RNAcentral.
CAAAAACAUGUCUUAAUGAUUUUUAAUAUUAAGUCUGACCUGCCCAAUGAUAAUAAUUUAAUGGCUGCAGUAAUUUAACUGUACAAAGGUAGCAUAAUCAUUAGUUUUUUAAUUGAGGACUAGUAUGAAAGGUUUUUCAAAAUAUAUACUUUAUUAUUAUAAUAUAUAUAAUUUUAUUUUUUAGUAAAAAAGCUAAAAUAUUUAUAUUAGACGAUAAGACCCUAUAGAUUUUUAUAAUUAAAUUAAUUACUAUAAUAAGGAUUUAAUUUAUUUAUUUAAUUAAAUUAUUUUAUUGGGGUGAUAGUAAAAUUAAAAUAAUUUUUAUGUAAAUUUUACAUUGAUAUAUGAAUAAUUGAUCCAUUAUAAAUGAUAGUUAAAUUAAAUUACCUUAGGGAUAACAGCAUAAUUUAUUUGGAAAGUUCUUAUUAAUAAAUAAGUUUAUGACCUCGAUGUUGGAUUAAGAUUUAAAUUAGGAGUAGAAAUUUAAUUAUUAAGUCUGUUCGACUUUUAAAAUCUUACAUGAUCU